RNAcentral lists this ribosomal RNA (390 nucleotides) under uncultured soil bacterium. RNAcentral describes it as "bacterial SSU rRNA". It matches the Rfam family "Bacterial small subunit ribosomal RNA", at positions 26 to 414 of the family's 1533-position model. The record is from RNAcentral.
AGGACGAACGCUGGCGGCGUGCUUAACACAUGCAAGUCGAACGGUGAAGGAGAGCUUGCUCUCCGGAUCAGUGGCGAACGGGUGAGUAACACGUGAGUAACCUGCCCUUGACUCUGGGAUAAGCGUUGGAAACGACGUCUAAUACCGGAUACGAGCUUCAGCCGCAUGGCUAGGAGCUAGGAAAGAUUUCGGCAAGGAUGGACUCGCGGCCUAUCAGCUAGUUGGUGAGGUAAUGGCUCACCAAGGCGAGACCCGGGUAGCCGGCCUGAGAGGGUGACCGGCCACACUGGGACCUGAGACACGGCCCAGACUCCUACGGGAGGCAGCAGUGGGAAUAGUUGCACAAGUGGGCGCAAGCCUGAUGCAGCAACGCCGCGGUGGGGACGAGGC